RNAcentral lists this long non-coding RNA (820 nucleotides) under Oryctolagus cuniculus (rabbit). RNAcentral describes it as "lncRNA (ENSOCUG00000039148.1)". Lineage: Eukaryota; Metazoa; Chordata; Mammalia; Lagomorpha; Leporidae. The record is from RNAcentral.
GUGCUGCUUGUUAAUGAAUGCAAAGAACAGCCAGAGACUGCGGGAGCCUGCUGCGGCUUUGCAGAUCAACUGUCCACGCACAGAUCCUGUCUGUGAGCUGAUAAAGCUUUGUAACUAGAAGGAAAACAGCAAGCAGCAUGGGAUGCGGAAGCAGAAGGCCUGUGUUCUGGACGGACUCUGCUCUGAUGGGUGUGUGCUCCAUGCUCCUGUACACUUGCUCAGCCUCUCCUGUUCCUGUGGAAGUGGGGUGCUGCCGCAGACCUGUGUGGAGGACGAGGUGCUCAGCGUUUGGGAAGAUUUAGCCAUGGGGCAAGAAAGAAGGAUUUAUUCUAGGAUCACAGGACUUCCCUCUUUGGAUCUACUUCCCGUGGAAAUCCCCGUAAAGAUCGUAUCUUGUCUCCGUCUGCUGAGGCAUAAAGAAAAAUGCCAUGAAAGGAGAGCAGAGGAGAGGUUUGGAACACACGGAGGAUGCUUGCACGCAGAGGAUCUCGUGCGGCUAAAGGAAGACUUUCAUCUCUCCCUUUCAUUUCUCCAGGGAGGGUUAGCUGCUCCCAGCUUUCAAAUCCCCCUUCAGCGACUGGGUUGCAGCAACUGGCAAAACUGCUUUCAUGGUCUCGGAAGCAUCCCUGGAGCUCCGAGAGGCCAAUUCCUGCAAAGGAGCCCUACCAAUCCAAAGGCAGUCCCACGCUGCAGAGCGCGAGCAGGCAGUGAGAGCGCCGGCCUGGGAGGAGUGCUGCGGCAUCCCAGGUGCACUUUACAAGGGCAAAGUCCGACCCCGUCUCAGAUAUCAAAGUCGUGCUCCAUGCAGCAUGGCCCUUAA